This 473-nucleotide long non-coding RNA is filed under the name Olea europaea (common olive). RNAcentral describes it as "long non-coding RNA (OEUR_LNC002268)". Lineage: Eukaryota; Viridiplantae; Streptophyta; Magnoliopsida; Lamiales; Oleaceae. The record is from RNAcentral.
CCUUCAAGGUUUGACCAAAUUGCCAACUAUUAGGGGUAACUAUGGUUCUGUCACAUGUUAAAGAUGGCCUUACUGGAUCCCAUCUAUAAUUUUCAGAUUAGUAAACCAAUUAUUAAUAUUUUACGUACCAUUUUUGUAUUCUUUCAACAGCAAAUCCUCCUCUAUUUACCCUUUUUCCAACUAUUUGAAGUUAUUAAAAAGAAAAUGAAGAACCUAAAAACAAAUUAAUACAAUUAAUUAUUCAUGCACAUAUGGUCUGAUUUCACGUUUCAACAAAAGAGACCCAAUAUUCCACCAUUUAAAUUAAUUAAAUUGUGUUUUAACAACAUAAUCCAAUGAAGAUAGUCAAAAGGUGUGACGCGAAGGCAAUGAGUGGCCAAUAAUUUUAUAGCCAAAUCUUUAAUACUGUACAAGUAAUAAAGAUGAGAGUUUCAAAUGUGAUAUGACCAAACAUCAACAAGGUUUGAAACCCG